RNAcentral lists this ribosomal RNA (420 nucleotides) under bacterium. Its description in RNAcentral is "partial 16S ribosomal RNA". It matches the Rfam family "Bacterial small subunit ribosomal RNA", at positions 355 to 776 of the family's 1533-position model. The record is from RNAcentral.
UGGGGGAUAUUGCACAAUGGGCGAAAGCCUGAUGCAGCGACGCCGCGUGGGGGAUGAAGGCUUUCGGGUUGUAAACCUCUUUCGCUAUCGAACAAGGCCCGCUUAGGGUGGGUUGAGGGUAGGUGGAGAAGAAGCGCCGGCUAACUACGUGCCAGCAGCCGCGGUAAUACGUAGGGCGCGAGCGUGGUCCGGAAUUAUUGGGCGUAAAGGGCUUGUAGGCGGCUUGUUGCGCCUGCUGUGAAAACGCGGGGCUUAACUUCGCGCGUGCAGUGAGUACGGGCAGGCUUGAGUGUGGUAGGGGUGACUGGAAUUCCAGGUGUAGCGGUGGAAUGCGCAGAUAUCUGGAGGAACACCGAUGGCGAAGGCAGGUCACUGGGCCAUUACUGACGCUGAGGAGCGAAAGCAUGGGUAGCGAACAGG